This 1190-nucleotide ribosomal RNA is filed under the name Populicerus populi. RNAcentral's name for it is "16S ribosomal RNA". Lineage: Eukaryota; Metazoa; Arthropoda; Insecta; Hemiptera; Cicadellidae. The record is from RNAcentral.
UCUAAAUUAUUUUAUUUAUUUUUAUUUGUUAUUAAUUAAAUUUAUUAUUUUUUAGUAUAAAUUAGAAAUGAUUAUUAUUAAUUUACUGACAAGGUAACGUUAUAUUGUUUUAUUAAUAUUAAUAGUACCUUUUGUAUCAGGAUUAUUCUAUUAAUUAACUUAUUUUAUUUUCCCGAAUUAAGGUUAUUUAAAUUUAAAUUUUUUUUAUAAAUUUCAUAUUGUUAAUAAAUUUAAUUUUAGUAGUUAAAAGUUAAUCGUCCCUUAAAUAUAUCUGGUUUUAUAGGAAUUAAAUUUAAUUUAAGGUUAUUAAUUAGUCUUAAAUAAUAGGGGAUAAUCUCUAUUUUUUGUUAAAAUUUAUUUUAUUUUAUUUUUUUUACCAUUAAUAUCUUUGUAUUUAGUUCGUAAUAGAUUUUAAUUUGUUAGUUACUAUUUUAUUAUUAUUUAUCUUCUUACUGUAAUUAUUUAAUUAAUUUUUAUUUAUUUUUAUUAAUGAUUAAAUUAGUAUAAUUUCUAUAUAUUUAUUAUGAAUUCGACAAAUUUAAUUUUCAACUGUUUAUCAAAAACAUUUCUUUAAGAUUAUAAUUUAAAGUAGGUUCUGCCCUAUGAUUAAAUUUAAAUGGCUGCAGUAUUUUGACUGUACAAAGGUAGCAUAAUAAUUAGCUUCUUAAUUAGGGGCUUGUAUGAAUGAAUUAAUGAGAAAUUUAUUUUAUUAUUAUUAUUAUUAUAAUUUAACUUUUGAGUUAAAAUGCUCAACUAUAUAAUUGGGACGAUAAGACCCUAUAGAACUUUAAGUUUAUAUUUAUUUUUAAUAAUUUGGCUUUAAUAAUAUAAGUUUAUAUAAAUUUUUUGCUGGGGUGGCGAAUAAAUUAAAACUUUAUUUUUUUUUAUCAUAUAUAUAUGUUUAAUUGAUCCAUUAGUUGUGAUAAUAAGAUUAAGUUACCUUAGGGAUAACAGCGUAAUUUUAAUGGAAAGUUCAUAUUUAUAUUAAAGUUUGCGACCUCGAUGUUGAAUUAAGAUUAAAUUAAGGGGUAGGUUCUUUAACUUAAGGUCUGUUCGACCUUUAGAUUCUUACAUGAUUUGAGUUCAAACCGGUGUAAGCCAGGUUGGUUUCUAUCUUAUUAUUAUUUAAUCUUUUUAGUACGAAAGGACCAUUAGAUUCUAUUUUAUAGUACUAUGUCUUGAAUUUUAUU